CACACACACACACACACACACACACACACACACCCCAACUGUGAAUAUGAGGAAAAACAUGAAUCUGUUAUAUAAUCGUAGUAAUUUUUCUUUUUUCUUUUUUUUUCUUUUUUUUUUUGAGGUUACAGGUGUUGCAGCAGCUGCUAUUGCUUAUGUUGUGAAAGUAAUGAGCCUCUCUUUCCUGUCAUCCUCAGGAAUGUGCUAACACUUGAACCUGAGAGCAGAUGAAGUAGGAAAUGAACACAACCAAACAUGAUGGAGAGAGAAGAAGAUAGAUGGAUGUAUAGUACAAGAGCCUUUUCUCGUUCCAUCAGCUCAGAUGGCUGUCAGGGAGGGUGAGCAGGAGGGAGGGAAAGGGAAGCUGACACCAUCAUCCCUCCCCUUGAACGAAACAACAUGUUAAUUACAGCGAAUCAGUAAGCUGUUGCUGAAAUAAAUAGCACCAUUCUGUGAUACUCUACUGUGAAUGCAAAAAAACAGCUGAAAAAAGCCAGACUGAAGCCAGCACUUUCCUCUUUGACAGUCCCGUCUUUUAAUUGGUGAUUCUACAGAUAAUUACAUGAGGUGUUGCUUGUAGCUGGAGGCGGCCGGCACCUCCUGGUCUUUAGAGGAUUCUAUAAAUUCCCCUGCCCUUUUUUCGCUUGAGUCACCAGUUGGCUGCGCUCUCACGUGAUUCCUCACAAUUUUUGUUACACCUGAAAGAUUUACUUUCUUGUACUUAUGUCUUUACAUUUUUAUCAGGGCUGUCAUGAUGUUAAAUGUUAGUUUAAUUAAUUGCAUUGAAUGCAGAUUUAUUACACAUAUAUCGAUAUAUGUGUAGUGCAUGUGUAAUGUUUAUUCAGUGAUUUCCUUAUGUGCCACAGUAGUGUGACAUCUGUGUGUUUCUUCAUUUAUAUAAUACUUAUUUAUGUAUUAUCUUAUUUAUAUAAUGCUGUCAUUGUCAUGUGACUUACAGUACAACAUCACUGUCAUUGACAUCUCUUCUCUCGUGGUCUCUUGGGAUAGUAAAGUGUCCAUUGAAUGUGUACUUCACAAUCUCGUUGGAAGUAGUAAGUCAUCCAGCAGUUUGUGCUGUACUUCCUGACAUUCUGACCAUUUGAGACCAACAUGGCAAUAUAUAAACUAAAAGGCAAUUCUUGUUUGUAUUUGAAGGACACUGGCCUGCUCUUUUUUUAUCCUCUCCUGUGGUGGAUGGUUGUAGUCAGUUAUUACUGACACUCAUCUCACGAGGCACCAACAUUUGUGAAGGGUCAGAGGGGAAAGUACGAGAACUGUAUCCAAUCAUGUGCUGUGAGACCUCGAUCAAAAUGUACAACCUGCCUCUGAAUAUAAUAUGCUGUACACUCAGCACACAUUCACACAAACACAAAGUGGACAAACAGAAGUAGUUUCCUAUUAAAUUCCCUUAAGAAAAACAGACAGAAGUCUUGCUCAUUAAAAGUGUUUUAUUUCAGUUUGAUUAGUCAUAUAUUAGUGAAGUUUUUCUGCACUUCCUUGCGCAAUACAAGCUGUUGUUUACAUAAAUUUGCUUUUUUGAUAUAGCCAUGUAGACUUCUUUUAAAAAGCAUAUUUUUAUUGUAAACAGCCAUGAGCUUUAAGCUGUUCUUCCUCCUUGCCCUGACUGUUAAAUAAAUUGACUUUAAAAUAAAUAAUUCUGACAAGUUAUCUUUGUCUGAAUCAAAUAGAGGUCACACAGUACACUUUACAAUAAACCAUAUUUAAACACCUUGGGAUAUUUCAUUCUUGUCUAAUCACAGCCUAUAAUGCAUGUUUGUCAUUACUAAGCAUAUACAGCAGUGCUGCAAAUGUUCCCUACAUCAGCAUGCAAGUGGAAUGUAAUUACCAUUUGAUACAGUUAUGGGUCGGCAGCACACAGACAACCAACUGUAGCAGUUACAGUGAUGCAGGAGUCCUGUAAUGUGAUGCAAGUGGCGAACAAUCCCAUAGUUCAGUGGUCAUUGCGAUUUUUGGGUUGCUUUGC
Molecule: long non-coding RNA, 1981 nt
Organism: Cyprinus carpio carpio
Lineage: Eukaryota; Metazoa; Chordata; Actinopteri; Cypriniformes; Cyprinidae
Source: Ensembl